Patella vulgata (common limpet) is the source of this 1639-nucleotide long non-coding RNA. RefSeq lists it as uncharacterized. The record is from RefSeq and is a predicted model, not a curated record. NCBI's taxonomy places the organism in Eukaryota, Metazoa, Mollusca, Gastropoda, Patellidae. The transcript is spliced from 5 exons.
AAACUCGCCUUUCCUUUGUAAGUAAGUUGAGUUACCAUCGGACGCUGGAAGUGCACGGAUCGAGUAUGUGGACAGCUAUCUGACAACACGAUUGGCACUGAUUGAAGCCAGGGAAGGAGUUUAAAAUAAACAGUAAUAAUUCAGCAGUAUUAAAAUAUAAUAGGAUGGCUGCUCCACCUCCCUACCCCGGUUAUCACCCUCCUGCAGCAUAUCCCCAGCCACAUCCCGGCUAUGCACCUCAACCCUAUAUGCAACCGAUGCCAAUGAUGCAGCAACAACAACAACAGCAGCAGCAGCAACAGUCGUCACAACAGAGUACAAGUAACGUUGUUGUUGUCAAUUCUGGUCAGCCACAACCCACGAACACUAUUAUCGUCAAUAGGAGAGGUGUAAAUCAUUGUCUACAUUGUUGUAUAACUUUAUUCUUCUUCCCAUGGGUCAUAGUGUGGAUAGUAUUGUGUAUAACCGACAGAGACUAGCAAAUGUUUAACAACUGUUUAGUUCGAAGUGCUAUGAAGAAAUCAUAUUUAAGCUCUGGAAUUCUCAAUGUGUCCAAAUUAGUCUAAAAAAUGUGUGCACGAUAUAUUUACCAGGAGAUAUUUAUUACUUAUAUCGCAAGUGCUAACUGAUGGACUUUAUUUAGAAGAGAAAUUUUGCUAAAAAUAUUAGAGCAACUGCGAUCAUAGUGGUCUCCAAAAGUUUGUAAGGAACAAAAUAUUCGAAGUUGAAAUUGAAACAAAUUUUAAACAAUAUAUAUAUAUAUAUAUAUUGUGUGGUUAAUAGCAAUUCUGAGGUAGCUGGCUCAGAAAUUAUGUCCAUAUUUUCGUGUUGACAUUGAAGCAUUGUUUAAAGGGCUAAUCCCGAUAAAAUUUUUGAGAAUAAAACUGCUUAAUUGUAUGUUAAAUUUCCUUAAAGUCCUCUACCUAAGGCCCGAGCAACUAACUUAAUAGUUGUGAUACGAUUUCAAACAACAUAAACCUGUCAGUCUUCACCUGGAAAUGGAGACCGGCGUGUCCCAAGCUGUAUUAUGCGGUGUCUGGAUAAAAACAGAUUUUUAUUUCAUAAAAAUAAUGUGUAGGUGAAAUUUACCUUUCAUUACAGCACAUGGGUAAUUCUCUGUAUAGAUCUCUCAAGGAACGGGAAUCGAUUAUCAGGUCACCUAACGAAAAAAUUGACCCGAAAUCUUAAAAGGGUUACGUGUCCGGAUAAGCAGUUUUUACGUUCACAUCCAAACGACUCAAUAUUUUGAGCUGAAAUUUUAAGACAAGGUAAAUACAACAUUCCUCUAUAUUUUGGCGCUUAAAUUUCAUACGUACUCGGACUUUCAUUUUUGAGGUUCUGUUCAAAUCAAAUUCCUCUAUAUUUUGGCGCUUAAAUUUCAUACGUACUCGGACUUUUAUUUUUGAGGUUCUGUUCAAAUCGGGAUAGUCCCUUUAAACAAUAUAAAUGACCUAUAUUAAUAUUGUAACUUUUCCAAGGGUUUAAUGAAAUGUAUCUACAAUCUCUAUUACAUCUGUGUAUAUAUGUAGAUAAAUAUCAUAGUAAAUCUUAAGUAUGUUAAAUUAUUAUACAUACUUCUAUUUAAUACCUCCUGUACAUUUUCCAACCAUGUCAUUAAAAUUCUUAACACGAACUUCAA